Molecule: unclassified non-coding RNA, 23 nt
Filed under: Mus musculus (house mouse)
Lineage: Eukaryota; Metazoa; Chordata; Mammalia; Rodentia; Muridae
Description: oocyte_clustered_small_RNA1605
Source: RNAcentral
UACAUACAUACCUUGGGAUAAAG